This 1368-nucleotide ribosomal RNA is filed under the name Janthinobacterium fluminis. Its description in RNAcentral is "partial 23S ribosomal RNA". It matches the Rfam family "Bacterial large subunit ribosomal RNA", at positions 1566 to 2925 of the family's 2925-position model. The record is from RNAcentral. Lineage: Bacteria; Pseudomonadati; Pseudomonadota; Betaproteobacteria; Burkholderiales; Oxalobacteraceae.
GAGACGAGUGAACUUGUUCACGAAGCAAUCGGAAGUGGUUCCAAGAAAAGCCUCUAAGCUUCAGUCAUACGAGACCGUACCGCAAACCGACACAGGUGGGCGAGAUGAGUAUUCUAAGGCGCUUGAGAGAACUCGGGAGAAGGAACUCGGCAAAUUGGUACCGUAACUUCGGGAAAAGGUACGCCCCGGUAGCUUGGUCACUUUACUGUGAUAGGGCGAAAGGGUUGCAAUAAACUGGUGGCUGCGACUGUUUAAUAAAAACACAGCACUCUGCAAACACGAAAGUGGACGUAUAGGGUGUGACGCCUGCCCGGUGCUGGAAGAUUAAAUGAUGGGGUGCAAGCUCUUGAUUGAAGUCCCAGUAAACGGCGGCCGUAACUAUAACGGUCCUAAGGUAGCGAAAUUCCUUGUCGGGUAAGUUCCGACCUGCACGAAUGGCGUAACGAUGGCCACACUGUCUCCUCCCGAGACUCAGCGAAGUUGAAAUGUUUGUGAUGAUGCAAUCUACCCGCGGCUAGACGGAAAGACCCCAUGAACCUUUACUGUAGCUUUGCAUUGGACUUUGAACCAAUCUGUGUAGGAUAGGUGGGAGGCUUUGAAGCGGGGACGCCAGUCCUCGUGGAGCCAACCUUGAAAUACCACCCUGGUUUGUUUGAGGUUCUAACCUUGGUCCGUUAUCCGGAUCGGGGACAGUGCAUGGUAGGCAGUUUGACUGGGGCGGUCUCCUCCUAAAGUGUAACGGAGGAGUUCGAAGGUACGCUAGUUACGGUCGGACAUCGUGACGAUAGUGCAAUGGCAUAAGCGUGCUUAACUGCGAGACUGACAAGUCGAGCAGGUACGAAAGUAGGACAUAGUGAUCCGGUGGUUCUGUAUGGAAGGGCCAUCGCUCAACGGAUAAAAGGUACUCUGGGGAUAACAGGCUGAUUCCUCCCAAGAGUUCAUAUCGACGGGGGAGUUUGGCACCUCGAUGUCGGCUCAUCACAUCCUGGGGCUGUAGCCGGUCCCAAGGGUAUGGCUGUUCGCCAUUUAAAGUGGUACGUGAGCUGGGUUUAAAACGUCGUGAGACAGUUUGGUCCCUAUCUGCCGUGGGCGUUGGAAAUUUGAAGGGGGCUGCUCCUAGUACGAGAGGACCGGAGUGGACGAACCUCUGGUGUACCGGUUGUCACGCCAGUGGCAUUGCCGGGUAGCUAAGUUCGGAAGAGAUAACCGCUGAAAGCAUCUAAGCGGGAAACUUGCCUUGAGAUGAGAUUUCCCAGAGCCUUGAGCUCUUUGAAGGGUCGUUCGAGACCAGGACGUUGAUAGGCUGGGUGUGGAAGUGCAGUAAUGCAUUAAGCUAACCAGUACUAAUUGCCCGUACGGCUUGUCCCU